AAUGAACGUUGGCGGCGUGGAUUAGGCAUGCAAGUCGAGCGAGAAUGGUCUGGUAGCUUGCUAUUGGACCAGGAAAGCGGCGAAAGGGAGAGUAACGCGUAGUUACGUGCCCCAGGGUUCGGAAUAGCCACGGGAAACUGUGGGUAAUGCCGAAUAACAUCUCCGGAUCAAAGGUGUGAUUCCGCCCUGGGAGCGGACUGCGUCCUACUAGCUAGUUGGCGGGGUAAUGGCCCACCAAGGCAACGAUGGGUAGCGGGUGUGAGAGCAUGACCCGUCUCACUGGGACUGAGACACUGCCCAGACACCUACGGGUGGCUGCAGUCGAGAAUCUUCGGCAAUGAGCGCAAGCUUGACCGAGCGACGCCGCGUGCGGGAUGAAGGCCCUCGGGUUGUAAACCGCUGUCGUAGGGGAGGAAAUCAAUCGGGGUUCUCCCCGGUAGUUGACCUAUCCUAGGAGGGAGUACGGGCUAAGUACGUGCCAGCAGCCGCGGUAAAAC
This 497-nucleotide ribosomal RNA is filed under the name uncultured bacterium. RNAcentral describes it as "bacterial SSU rRNA". It matches the Rfam family "Bacterial small subunit ribosomal RNA", at positions 29 to 526 of the family's 1533-position model. The record is from RNAcentral.